This 388-nucleotide ribosomal RNA is filed under the name uncultured bacterium. RNAcentral's name for it is "bacterial SSU rRNA". It matches the Rfam family "Bacterial small subunit ribosomal RNA", at positions 29 to 416 of the family's 1533-position model. The record is from RNAcentral.
AUUGAACGCUGGCGGCAUGCUUUACACAUGCAAGUCGAACGGCAGCACGGGGGCAACCCUGGUGGCGAGUGGCGAACGGGUGAGUAACACAUCGGAACGUGCCCAGUUGUGGGGAAUAACCUAUCGAAAGGUAGGCUAAUACCGCAUGAGCUCGGCAAGAGGAAAGCGGGGGACUCAGCGAUGGGCCUCGCGCGACUGGAGCGGCCGAUGUCCGAUUAGCAGUUGGUGGGGUAAAGGCUUACCAAGGCGACGAUCGGUAGCUGUCUGAGAGGAUGAUCAGCCACACUGGGACUGAGACACGGCCCAGACUCCUACGGGAGGCAGCAGUGGGAAUUUUGGACAAUGGGGCAACCCUGAUCCAAGCCAUGCCGCGUGAGUGAAGAAGGCC